This 72-nucleotide transfer RNA is filed under the name Ornithorhynchus anatinus (platypus). It matches the Rfam family "tRNA". From Rfam's summary of the family: Transfer RNA (tRNA) molecules are approximately 80 nucleotides in length. Lineage: Eukaryota; Metazoa; Chordata; Mammalia; Monotremata; Ornithorhynchidae. The record is from Rfam by way of RNAcentral.
GGCAGAGUAUCCAAGUGAGUAGGGUAUGGGACUGGAAAUCAGAAGCCUCGGGGUUUAAUCCCGACUCUGCCA